Long non-coding RNA from Gallus gallus (chicken), 15314 nucleotides. The record is from Ensembl. NCBI's taxonomy places the organism in Eukaryota, Metazoa, Chordata, Aves, Galliformes, Phasianidae.
CUCGGUGUAUCCAGUCAUACACAGACUAAAAAAAAAGCCUUUUCUACAAUGAUUUGCACGUCAACUUUCACCCGUCAGUGCUUUUUGGAAAAUGGGAUUCUUCCCUGUGGAAAAAAAUAAACAGAAAAUACGAGGGUUUGCUGCACGCAGAACACGCCCCAACCUCCCAGGCGGCCCGGGCACCCUUCCCAUCCCUGUGGAGCCGCACCCCGUGCAGGGCAGGGAGACUUGUCCCAUUAAAAUGACUCUUGAAGUAGUGACUCUAAUAAUAAUAAUCUGUGAUUCCUUCCCGUUCUGUUGCAGGGCGUGCAGCAGUGUCCCCCUGCCAGCCUCUGGGCACCCUCAGGUCCCCGCUGUAAGAGGUGAAAUGUUGCCUGGACAGCCCUGAAGUUGGAGGUCCAAGGCAUCCAGCUUCGUUUGUCGCAGAGAAAACACUGCAGGCAAAAAGGAGGGUAAGAAUGAGGGCAGCGAGGCGGCAAGAGCUGGCAAAGCAAAUGCUGGCAGUGCAGGGCCAGCGGGCUGUGAACACUGGUCGCCUUCCAGGGGAAUUAUCAAGUGGUGCUGCAUGCCAUGGAAGUGUGCAGCAAUGGGCAGAAGGACUGUGCUGUUCUUGACUCCAAAAGUUUGACUCCACUUGUGGUACAAGAAAACAUUCCUGGAGUUGAGUUUGGGGCAUUAAAACAGGCGUGGGGGGAAGAGUUACUUUCUUUGUCCACCUCCCUUUUGCAGCCACUUCCCUGUGCAAUCUUGGGAAAAUCUUGUCUGCCUCGGUUUCGCCCUCUAUAAAAUGGGAAUAAGUCAUGACAGACCCCUCCUUUUAGAUGCCUGGAUCAAAGGUACUAUAUAAGUACAAAGUGCUCCUUCUAUAGGGUAUUAUUGCCAAAUUCGCUAUAAGCAAUUCCAUUGGGUACUUGAUAACAACAGUAGAAUCAGUCAAACGCCCUUGAUGCAUUCAUCGCAUGGUCCCAGAUACCUUUCAGAGCCUCUUUGUGUGCCAUCCUACCCCCUGAGGUCCACGAGGAUGGGGCUUUUGGAGCCUGGAUUCUGCAGGAGCAGGAGGGGUAUGGUAAGCAUCUUCUGGCCCCUGAACCGUGGACCGCUUUUCUUUUUGACCUGGUGAGGACUACUGGAACUAGCCCUUUCACAAACAGGUUUUGAACAUGCAACUUUAUAUAUAUUUAUAUAUAUGAAAUUGUAACACCUAUAGUACAUAGUGCUAGACUCUUGUUGAAUUUUCACUGUUUUAGUCUUGCGUGGUUCAUUGUCAUUUUAAUCUGCAUUUGUUUCACUGCGGAGUGCUUAGGCUGCUUUCAGAUCUAGGCACAUUGCUGAUAGAAAUUUGGUUCAUUUCAGCUUUGAAAUUUGUAGUUGUUAGGGAGCUAACCAUUUUCUAAAAUUAAACUUAAGAAAAAAAAAAAACACCCACAAACCUACACCAGGGAAACUAAUAUCUUAAUUGCUGGAACUGUUGCCAUUAUAAUUAACUCUAUCAUGUAAUUCCAUUCUUUCUUCAGUUUUAAAAUUCUCUAAAAGACAUUUUCUACUUAUGAUUUUUCAAAAAUAGUGUUUUAUGGUCCAGUAUUAAAAAUAGAAGAGUGGAUGUUAUAUCGGAUAUCAUAGCGUGGAGCUUCCAUGAGUAAAUUCACAAACAUCCCAGUGAUUCUUCCUCCUCUGCUCUUCUCCCCCCACUCCAAGAAGCACUGAGGGUGAAUAUGCAGCUUCAGAAGUUUCCUUAGAGCUCUUUUAUACUUUAAUAGGUUUGUUUUGGUGACUAUAUGCCAGACGAGUAUGCUGCAGACAUAUUUUUUUUCAAAAGGUCAAGCAGUCUUCUAACAUGUCCAUUGUGUAUCCUGCAGUAAGAAAUCCUCAGUGCAAAGGAGAGCUUCAUGGUUAAAUUUUAAAAGAUAAUGAUUUAAAUCUUUUUGUUAUAGCCUUUCUUCUUUCUUUCUUUCUUUUUUUUUAACAUCCUUAGCACUGCUUUUGGAGCGUCAACUUCUAACACUGUAGAAAGCAGGAAGCCCAUUAAAAAUAACAAACAGCUAAAGGUAAACUUAGUUGGUCACCUUUCCCUCUGAAAUCCUGGUGUUUGGCUGUGUUUGUAAGAAACGUGAUAACAAAUGAGUGGCCAUAGCCUAAUGUAAGGACAAAGCAAAAUUACCAAUUAUGGAGAAACAUCCAGGGCUCUGGGCCUGAAUCUUUGAUUUCCUGUUUGGAUCUUAAAAACACAUGCAUUACUGGCUUCUGACUGCUCAUCUAUGAACGUGCUGUAGAAUCAACUACAGAUAUUUUUUCAGACACUGAUAAAACGUAUACAUUCACUUGUCAGCAAAAAAAUAAUAAUUACAUCAUUCUGAUCUUCUCUCUAAAAAAAAAAAAAAAAAAAAGAGGAAAAAAAUAAACAAAAGAAACCUUCUUCCAGCAAAGUAAAGUUGCAGUAUAUUAAAAAACCAGUGCGUUUUCUCUUUCAUACAGGCAUGAAGUGGAAAAGAGCAGAGAUGUCUGCAAUAUUUAAGCACUCUUUGAGCUACAAGACUAAUCAAUGUAGCUCCUGCCACAUACUUGAGAACUGCAGUUUAUUAAUACAUGUGUUUUUGCUCUGUUAAACAAAUAGUCAUGCCACUCAAGUUCAGUUGUAAUGAAAAAAAAAGAAGAAAGAAAGAAUGUUCUUUAUGGAUAAAGGGAGAGGGAUAGCCAAAUUCAAAAUACUGGUGAGAUUUCCCUCAUCUCAAAAAUUAUGGAAAAAUAAAAAAAAGAAAUCUGCCUCUGUGUAGCUCUGGGUCAUUUGGAAGGAAAGAGGGAUGCUAAAAAUAUUAGUAAAUUAGUAUAGGAGAUGCUGAUGAAAACAUCUGGUCAACUGGUUGUAUUGACAUAAAUCGGAGUACUCUAUGAAUGUUUCAAGCGUGGAAAUAGAAUUAUCAUUGGUCACCAAUUUUAAAUAUAUAUAUAUAUAUAUAUAUAAAGGUAUUUCUUUCCUUCAGUGUUCCCGUUUUGAAUUUAUGCAGUAUACCUGAGUGUUCCCCUCUUUAAUUCAGUGCACGUGAAUUGUCUACAACAGCUUAACUUUAUAUAUCAGGUAUGCUUCAGAAACUGAAAAAAUCUCCAGCUGAUUUAGCAGCUGAGGCAUUACUCAUCAGAAUAUCUGAUUACUGGCAUAUUAAGCAGCAGACACAGUGGAACAGAAUAAACAUGAAGCACUGCAUCUACCAACACAUAUAUUUUAAUUACUACUAACCAAACAAAUAAAUACCAGACCGGCUUCAUAUUCAAAAUUUAGUGCGUGAUCAAGGGAAACAGAAAUCUACAAUAUUGGUCCUUGUAAAAAUGUUGUCAUUAACAAGAAUUUCUCAGCUCCCAAGUUUUCAUUUCAAAUCUCUCGGUGUGCCUGUUGUAAUCAUUCCGGGUCUCCUAUUCCUAAUUUAAAACAAUGGCAGUGGUGCUCAGCCGCCCCUGCAGGAAGGCUGGCCGCAAACGGGAGACAAUGGCAGCGGCAGAGGUGUGACACCUGCCGCCUUCUCUCCUCAUCAAACUUUGUCCACAAGAAACCACUGAUUCUCAGACUCGUAACCCUUUAAUUGUCAAUGCUCUAACUGGAGAGCUGUAUAGAGCUGUAGAAAGCUGUUUCUUAAAAGAUAGCUGCUAAAUGUUGCCUUUUUCUUUCGAUAGCUUUAGGCCGCGUUUCCUAAUUCUGAGUAAUUCACUCUAAUACGUAGUCAUAAACCAUAAGAUAAUAAAUUAUUAAGGCCUGAUUUUUUUUUAUUUUUUUAUUUUUUCUGUUCAGAUCAAUCUUUCUUAAUUACUGCGUGGUCUGAAAAUACGAGAAUAUCGGGGCUGGAGAUUCAUUUGAACAGAUCUCCAAACAGGCUGUGCAUGGGUUAGGGCUUUGCGUUUUCCUUAUGCGUCAGAAAAUUUCCUCUUCCCUUUCGGUCUGUAAGCACCGAGCAGCUGUAAGCACCUCUCGCUACCUGGGCGCUUGGCUAUCCUAAUGCAGCCUGGUAGCCCUAAGAACCCACCGGUCAAAAUCAAUGACUUGCAGACAAGAUUUUCCUUCCAGUCUGCAGAAUGGAAGUUGUAGCAUUUCUGCACUCCUGGCAAGGGAGCUCCGUCUGUCUCCGAUCAUGGUUCUCGAUCUCUUGCCCACGUGCAGUACGGGUAACGCCAUUCUCCAGGCGUAUGUACGGACACCAUGGAAGAAAGGGUUUGAGCGAUGGAGACAACGGCUGGAAACUCCACCGACACAACGCGACUACAGUAUGUUUUCCUUUCAUUGUCCUUUCAAUUCACAGUAAAUUUCAUUCCAGCUCUUAGAAAUCAUCAUUCUUCCCCCCUUUUUAUUUCAAAAUGGUUGCAGAUUUUUCAUUCACGAAAAGGUUAAAGGCGUCUCCCCAUCGCAGGAGGGAUUAUCUUACCAGAGGAUUCUGGGACUGCAGAUGUAUACUGCGGCAAAAUCCUAAAUUCAUCGGCAAAAAAAAAUCAUUUCCAGACCCCAGCUGCUAAAAAUAAUAGAAUUAUAGUAAAUCAUUGAUAAGAUUAAAACAUAAAGCCAUUUUUUGCGUUCCAAAGUGCUCUAAAACACAGGUCUUUUCUCUUAAUUUGUUUCUUAAAUAAUGCAAAUUUUAAAGUAGCUUUUCUAUCCAAAGCACGCAGCGCCAUGAAAUCGAUAAUUUUUGAUCUUUUGGUUAGUAGGCAACAUGGUGAGCUAUUGCAGUGACUGCAGGCAGCAGACAUGUUCUUGUCAGCUAAAAAUUUUCAUAUUGUUUUUGAGUCCAUUGAGAUUCGUGGAUGGGAUACAGCCAGUUAUAGCUCCAGCUUGCGCUUUGCUGAGGGGACGUAAACCAGCGCCGGUUUAGAUGCACGUAGAGAUAUAGAUAUAUGUUUUAAAAACAAGAAGCAUUACUGGAUUUUAAACAAAAAAUUAUGUAAAAAGAAUGGCUGGUGUGAUUAUAAUCGCAUCAUGCAGGGUCCACGGUUUCCAUUUAGUGAAAUUUCGCAGAGGGCAACUUCUUAAGAACAUCCCUGCUGUGCAGAGUGAAAAGCAUGAACAAACCAAAGACAGAAUUCAUCUGUGUUUAUAUUUUACAGACAAUGAAAAACCUACUCUUUGUAUGCCUUUUUUUCCACCUUAUUAUUUCACGAAAACUGCAGCAUUUUCCCCGCCCCCACCCGAACACUCACCACCCCAGCACUGCGGUGUUCGGUGUUUCUUUCUUUCUUUCUUUUUUUCCACCUCUUCUUCUUCUUUUUUGCUUUCACAAAUUCUGCACGCGCCAUCUUUGUCUAUUGUUACUCUUUUCUAAUUUCUGUUGCCCAUUCUCUUUCAAAUCAGCUAAUAAACGCAGAGCUAAAUGCCUGAUCAAUGCUUACGUUCUAUAUUCUCCCCAUCUUUCUUUUUAUUUUUUUUCCUGAGAAAUAAAAUUAAGAAAGAAACACCUCUCGCCCCAAAAUUUCUGUAUUACCAUAACCUGUUGUAUACAGUGGUGAUAAAAAACAUUAUUAACAUAAUAGCAACAGCUGCAGCCUAAAGAGAAGCUAUGAGAUAAUAAAUGUGCUACAACAAAUUAAUUUGCUGCAGGUGCUUGUGCUCUGAACUGCGUAACCCAAGCCAUUUCAAGUCUGAAUACAAUUAUUAUUCCCCCCACACACUAAAACAAAGUGCAGAGUGAAAUGUCCUGCGAUUAUAAACAUCUUGUCCUGUCCCCAGAACAUUUUCACCAUCAGCAAAGAGUGGGAGAAAGGAUUUUAAAGCCCUGGUAGCGAGCUGCGGCAUUUAAAAAUAUUUAAAGAGGUUUCCAGUCGUGUCCAAGCUGGAGGAGAUAAUGCAUGUCCAUACGUUAAUUUGCACCUAUUGUCUCUUACCCAGAGCCCCGUAGGUGAAGAUGGGUAGAGGUAUUACAUACAUGCAAUUGGCAAGGCAGGGGCUGUAAACACCUCAUUAGUAACAGAUGCAUAUUUGUAUGUGUUGGCACUGCCAUUUACUUCAGAGCACAGAAAAAAAAUACAUCUCUUUGCCAUUUGGCUUGUGCAAUGUGCAGUGAACUGAGCAGAGAUUUUUGCUGUUUUCUCUCGUAAACACAGUGCUUGUGGAGCCAGUUCCUAGUUGCCUCACCGGCAGACGCCCGUAGCAUCUUGCAGCAUUCUCCAGACUGCGAAGACAAGAAGUCAGGUGAAGCCCAGUGAGCUGUUCUCAUGUGCACGCUAACGUGGAUGAACUAGCAAGGUGCUUUCUCUCCUUCUCCUCUUUUCAGACCUAAUUGUCAGAAAUGUGGAGAAAAGGAGAAAAUUAAGGGCUCAACUGUGCUAAUUUUUCUGGUUUUUCAUUACCAGAAUACACACUGCUCAUUUUUCUUCUAUUUUUUUCCAUGUUUUAAAUAUUUUUUUUCAAAUGUAAUCAGAGAACACAUGUGUUUUAAAAGAUUGAUCAUUCUCACAGAGUAACCUUGAAAUGUUCUUUCUGUGAUCUUAAAGAAAAGAAAGAAAGAAAGAAAAAGAAAAAGGUACGGUACGUAGCCCAAGAGAACUAAUUGAAUUCCUUGCCCAGGACACAUUUGCUAUGUAUCCGAGUGGCUUUGCAGUGAUGGGAGCCCCAGGAGAAGCUUCCAUGCUCCAGCAAGGCAAGGUACAGAUGGUGCACUCAGCCCAGUGCUGCCAGUGUCCUUUUUGACUGUGCCGAGCUCGCAUGAGCCGUCCCGGGGAGGUCAGUGGGAUUACUCACCUGCAAGUGCAUAGUUGCUCAACUUAGAAUUUGCAUGUCUCAAAUCCCUUUUGCCUGAAGAAGAAAACAUAUAAUCCACUAAAGAAAGAUGGUUAUGCAGCACUAGUGAAAAUUGUUUUGUUUUUGUUGCUACUUCUGUAUCACGCUCUUGUUUUGUUUCUGUGGCUUCACUCACAUCUGCUCCCAAGAUCUGAUUUUUACGCUGUUAGUUGAGCUAAGCUUCCAUCCAUGUCCACAGCUAUUUUCUCAGAGUAACAACUGGGACAUGAAUUCCUAAAUUUGAGGCAUUCAUCUCCAUAAUGCUUAUGGUAAUGUGUCUCCUAGUCAUCAUCCAAAUGAGUAAAUAGUAUAGCAUUUCUGCAUAUGAAGCACGGGGUGGGAAAAUGUGCUUUCGCAAACUCCUGUGCCUGUAUUUGCACAGCCCAGUAUUACCUUUCUCCUGAAGUAAGGCUGAUGCCACGAACGAGUAGUUCUGUAUGCUAAGCUCCCCCCCUAAAGAGAUGUGGUGUGCCAUUAUUUCACUGUCGUGCCAUUUCCCUUCUCACAGGGUCACCAUAUUUUGCUGACAGGCGACUUCGGUAGGGGAAUUUGACCCAAACCCAAUGGCACAACCUGGCUAAAGGAAUAAAAGGUGAAUGCCAUUACUCAGAAGUAGCCCUAGAGGAGAACUGUUUUGGUCAAUGUCUCGAUUUGUUCAUCCAACUGGAUCCUGCUUCUGGAGGACCUCAGCACCCACCGUACUCAGGUUAUUGGGACCAUAUCAUACGGAACAGGAAGUUAUAAAUCAAAGCUGGGGAGCUGCGGCAGGACUGAGGGGAAGGUUUGGGUGUAUUUAGGUAGCCAGUGGAACGCUCCGUACAGUCUGUCUACCAAGAACUAUGGCUUGCUUGGUAUUCUGGAGGGAAACAGAGAGGAACAACAGCUGACCAAAGCCUUGAUAAGAGGGCCAGGAGGAUGGGCAGCACCGCCUGCUUCUGCCCUAGCCCAGUACAGGCAAAAAGCAGCUUGAGAACAGGGACUUUACACAGGAAGACAUUACAUGGAGGGAAUUAUGUACAGCUUCAUUAUGAAAAACAUGCAAAUCAUUUUAGACAUAUUAUACCUCCUGAUUAAUGUAAUAGGGGAAAAAUGGAAACAAGCUAUUCACUUUUCCAUUAUAAAACAUUCUGACAAAAAAGAAAAAAAGAAAAAGAAGAGAAAAUUUCAGCCAUCUCAGGAGAAAAGCAGGUAGUUAAGUGUACACCAGCAUGUGCAAUGCAGGCGAUGCAACUGGCUACUUUUUAUUGCUGUAUGACUAAGCAAAGACUUUUUUUUUUUUAAUUUGGGCUACUGUGACUCAAGGUUAAGUUUUAAUGUGAAUAUUAAAUGUGGGCCUCGUCCUGCCGGGUUCUGAGCACCUGGCUGAGAAGGCGUUUGCUGAGAGUUAAAGAUGCCCAGUGGAGCUCCCCGCAUCAAAAUAAAUAAUCAAAAAACAACAAACAGCCACAACAACCAAACAGAGCAAAACGAUAGGCAACAAAAUAAACAACCAGAAAAUCUCCAGACAGACAAACAAACAAAAAGCAAAGGCCGAGCCUGUUCGCACGUUAUUAUGCAUAGUAAUAUCUGCCCUGCUGCAUGACUGUAAGCGACACUUCUUAUUGAAUUUCCCUCAUCACAGUUUCUGCAUACUGUGCUUACGCAGGCUGUGUUUCUCUAAGUGCAUUCUUUAGCCCUGGAAACAUAACAUUAACGCAUGAGUCUGAAGCACUCGCCUGGGCUGUGCUUAUCCACAGACUCACCUGUUCAUUUGUGUGGGUUUUACAAUAAUGUUUUGCUAUUGUUUUGUGUCAAUAUUUGCUGCUGUGCUGGCUCUGCCUUUUUCCUUCCACCCACCUUUCUCCUCACGCGUGCUGACAGAUAAGUGUGGUUUGACUGAAACCAUUCCAAGGGCUAGAUAUUGCUGUCUACAGCAACAUCACGCGGUGCAGUUUGUCAGGAAGCAGUUGUGGGACUGGUGGGAAGGCAGCAUGCACACACUGGUACAUGUCACCCCACUGUCCCUGCAACUGCCCAGCAAAGCACUGUGCCACGUCUCAUUGUAUGGGAGUUGCAUGGCUAGAGGCUUGGGGUUGGGAUGUGGAUUCACAGUUUCCAAGCUCUUCUGCCUUUCUGCAGGGUUAGGCAAGACAAACUCUCCUUGUACCUCAAGCGUACAGGGAUGGCUUGCAAAGUUUCUUUAGGCAAAGGGCAGAAUUCUUGGCACCCAGGCCUCUAGAAACACAAGUGGGCAUAGGCCAGUGCCAACUUUGCCCUCUAGAAACACAAGUGGGGAAAGGUCACUGCCAACUUUGCCAGCAGAUGUAUUUAUCCCUGCGUGUGUGAAGUGCUAUGGGGCAGGGAUGAAGCCACUAUUGUAUGUUGGGAAGCACCAGGGGUAGAUUGCAGCGAGCUCCUUCUCAGAAGUCAUUUCUUUUAUCCUCCCAGUAUCAAUGUGUUUGCCAUCACCAUUCUCAACCGCCAGGCUCCUGCUCCCAUUUAGAGGCUGUGCAACAUUUCAAAUUACUAUUUUUUUGAAGGUGGUCUGUGUGGCUUCACACACCAAGGACAUGGCGAGGCCCAGCAUGGCACGCAGUAGGAAAGCCUCGCACACAGCCACACUUGAUCUGCAAGGAGGAGGAAGGAGCUGGUCAGGAGGUCUGUCGGGGGAGGCAUCUGCAGAGUGAAUGGGGAAAAAAAAAGCAGCAGGAGCAGGGGGGGAUGUCAGCUGCCAGCACCAUCUCCUUUGAAGAUCCCCACAACCGGAGGGAGGAUCAGGUUGCCAGCAGACUCUCCCUUCCUAAAACAUCCUGCCCCUAAAUAAGGAGAGCGGAGCACAGAUUGCCAGGGGCCUGUUUGAUUCGCCCCCUCACCCUGCGAGUCUGCUGUUUGGCCACCACCACCACGGAGAGCCCUGCCACAGAGCCAUCAUCCCCAGCACGGCUCUGUUGCAACAGGACUGAGGGGCGCAUGCCCUGUCCAGCUUCCCAACCCCUUGCGUUUGCCAGCUGCAUUUGGGCUGCAAGCCAUUUUUUGUGGCACCUGUUAUUUUUAUUUGCUUUCAGACUCCUUUGUUUCUAACACACUGUCACCUCUGGGUAACUAAUAGUUUUCACCUGUGUUUGUUCCUUUGUAGCUGCGUUAUGCUGUAGAAAUCGCAGGGUCUUCUCUAUGCAGGUGAAAAUGGGUGAGAAGGAGUACAACUGUUGGAUUUGUGGCAGGAAUUUUCAAACGAAUGAAAGCGUAAGGAUGAAAACAGAAGAAAAGUGUUCAGCAUGGACACAGUUAAAUGUGAGUUUCACACUUCUGAAAAGUACAGACGAUUCAAGUCUAUUCAUUAUUUGAAAUUCAUAUCUGCUCCUGUGCAAGAAAUGUAAAAACCGAUGCUGACUUUUAGGAAUGUCCCCCAAGACCUUUAUACACCUACAUUCUGUUGCUCUUCCUUUCAUCCUCUUGUCAGUCAAUACUUAACCCUUUUGGAGGCUGACCUUUUGGUAGCGUGAGGGCUCACUAUAGAACUGAUUGGAUAGUUGAAAGGAUAUUCUUGCAUAUUUUUGCGAAUCAAAGCAUCACGCUUGGUUUACUGUGAUUUGUAUGUUACAUUAUGACAAGUACACAGGAGCUUAUUCAUUGAGGCACUCUCUCUCGAAAGCUUCCCUAAUUUGUCUCACAAGCCUGUAUUUAUUUGAAAACUCAUCCCAUAGAUUUUUUUUUAUUUCUUAUUACUUCCUGAUGGUUCAUCAGAUAUUUAAAAAAGCAUCUCAUACCCAAUCAGCAAGUGCUAACAGCUUCCAAGUGAUGUGUGUGCUCAUUGAGACCCUCCAAAUAGCUGGAGCAAGCAGUCUGAAAAAGAAUAGAUUUGUCUGGUUAUAUAAUUAUAAUAUAUGUAAUUAAAAAAAAAUCCUUUAGUCCACUUGGUGUAAAAUAAUGUCAGAACACAAAAAUUCAACCAUCUCUACACAUCUAAAACAUUUCUAAACACGUACCCCCCCUCAGAUUCAUAGUAAUAUUCUUGACUGUCAUCUAGUUCCAGGAGCAUAAGGAAACUGUUACAGAAAAGGUGACAAUAAUACAUCUUGUUGGAAAGGAGAACCAAAAUGAAGCAGCUGUACAUCAGAGAGAAAAUCUGAACUAAGAGACUGAUAACAAGUAUGCCGAGUAUUUUUUCUUGCUUACGGGUGAAAAAGCCAGCAAAGUCUCUGUUUGAAGACAAAGCACAUAAUAAUAUGAUCAUAAAAAUCUCCUAAUGGGGACUGUGUGAUGCACGGUAAAUGUAUUCCUUUCAGUACGUUAUUCCCUCAACAUGCAGGCUUUCAAGGUACCCUCAAACCGUACUGUGGAUAUGAUAGCAUCAGCACAGCUAGAUGUGAGCAGAGCUGGACCUCCUUUUUCCUUAUUAUUGCUAUUAUUUGUGCUCUUAUCAUUUCAUACUGAUCUCACGGCAACUCCUGGGAGGUUCAGACAGAAAAGUCACCCCAUUUUUCAAGAGGUGGUUUGCAGACAUUGCUAAGGCACCAUCUGUGCCCAGAGAAAAGCUGCAAUUGAUGGAAAUGAAGUGACAUUCAGAGGGUGGAGAGAGGAAUACAGCAAUUAUAGGUGGGGCUGGUAGUAUUACCUGUUAUUAAGGGCUUGCCUGACACUUCCCAUUUUAAGGCCUGCUCCUCGUGGUUUUUAAGUACUUAGUAAACUUUAAGCAUUUGUCUUUACCUAGACUUCUACCCUUGGCUGCUUCUGCUGCUCAGGUGUUAUUAACAGAAUUUAUUUCAUUUGGACGUCGUGGCAGGACUGGAGCUGGAGGAAGGAGCAGCAGCUUUAAAAACAUACAAAUAAAUGUUAUCCUUUUACCUUUCAGUAUAUUUUUUUUGUUUUGCUUUGCCAUAAGAACUCAAACAUUGUAAUCUCACCUUGUUUUCUUAUAUUCCUCCAGCUACCUGUCUGCACCCAUCUGUGAUCUCUUUUCUUAGAUUUGAGCCUGUCUUUCUGAUCUGCAUUUGUGCACUGCUUUAUACAGCUGGGUGCUGGUCCGUGACUGCUGCACCUAUGAGCUGCAGCCACGCAAACAAAUACUCUGGGUCUGCACAGGGCAAUUGUUUUGGAGAAGUAAAUAAAUAUUUCCUAUCCAGAAAUCCUUCACGGUCCCUUCCUGAUUGAUUGUGACUCCCAAAUGCUUUGGAUAGAAUUGCCUACCUUUCCCCUCACACUUAAAGUGCUGGAAGUGUUUCGUAUUCAAAUAUGAGUGGCUUUUCUUGUCAACAACAGCUCCUUUUAGAAAACACUGCUGCUAAAAAUAAAAAGACUGCUUUUCAGGCUCUGUUUAAACACAGUGCUAUUCAGGGAUCAAGCUGAGCAAAAGCUUAUUCCCUCUACCCAUGUGUUUUGAAACAGCACACAGAGGAAGGGAACGAGCCACUGAGUUUAUGUUUCAACUGGAAAUGCAAAAGAGAGAGCCAGAUUCAUUAAGACUGUUACACUAAGUCAAUAUGACCUUUCCCUUUGUAUUUUGCUUCCUUCGAUUGACUUGAAAUUGGACUAGGCGGUGAGCACUGUGCUCCAGACCUUUGAGUUUUUUCAGCAAAGGUCAUUGUUUUCAGCCAGAAGGGUGGUCAUGACUUCAGAAGUGAGUUCUGUGCUCCCCCACAAAGCCUCACAGGCCAUUUCACUCACCUCCUUUACAGCCAGUAUUUUUCACCCUCAUUUAACUACAGCUGGCAAAAUCUUACAUAAUUUGGCCUUUUAGAAUAAAUGCAAAAAUCACUGUUACAGCAGCAGGUUGCUAACAUUGCGCUUUCCACACCUUAAGCCUGAUCCUGCAAAGUAAGGAAUGUUUUGGGUCCUUUUGCUUCAGUUUUUAUUUUGAGUAUUUUUGUCUCCCAGCAAAGUGAACAGCCUUGGCAUUUGCGGCAUCUGAUCCUACAUUUAACCAAGUCAGUAACAAAAUGGUCGAAGGUCGAAAUGUUUGAAGUUACUCCUAUUGGGACUGAAGAUGGUUUCCUAAAUGCAGACUUGUGUUCUCUCCUUGUAACCUGGUUGAGGUCCAUGUAAUCUAUGGCACACUUUCUACAGCGUAAUCACAUGGAAAAGUCCUUGGCCAAAAAAAGUAAGCAAACAACACCAGAUCUCAGCAAACCACAAGCGUGCUUCAACAUCUGAGUGUGGGCAGACUCAGGACCUGAAGACUGUGCCAUGCAUCAACAUGGCACUAAACUAAAAACAAAUAAACUAAACUAACAACAAAUAAACAAACAACACUCUUUCCUCCCCCAAACUCUAGCAAAUCUGAUUUGAACUAAGAUCUCUAUGUUGCUGCACUUAAUUUAUUCUUUCCUUCCUGAGUGGCCUCUACUAGCUUUCAAAGACAUAAUAAAACACCUGCCCCUACCCUUCUGCCCCUAUCUCUUAAAAGCAGCCCACAAUCCUUGCUCACAGGUCUACCAGCUGAAAAGGCAAAAUUGACAUUUUUUUUCCCCUUUAGAAACAUGCUCUUAACACACACGCACAGGACUGCUGCGGGGGUCAAUGAGAGUAUAUAAUGCAGAGACUGAGAAGCGAAUGCAACCCUGUCUUCCUGGUUUUCCUGGAGAUAAUGGGAUAUGACUUUUAAAUGGAAGAUAUAGCUUUCAAAAUGGUUCAACAUAAUAUAAGAGAUAAAACAACUGAGGAACCAAAAAAGCAAAUAGUGUCUCUGACUUAAAAGGAAAACAACUAUCAGUGUCCCCAGUGAUUCUCUAAUUUGGAGAUAUCUGAACAAGACAGGUCUUAAAAGAAAAAACAGCUCUACACCGAACACCAUCACUUCAGAGCGGUGAAUUUCAGCUGGUGCAGAGCAAGAAGGGUGCAGAUAAAUGCUACCCGAUGUAAAGCUUCACAGCCCAGUGUUAACCCAUAAGCAUUUCUUCAGCUAAUAUGAAGAGGAUGGAUGAACUGAGGCUGAAGCGCUCUGCUUCACGUGGCUGUGGCCACUAUGGUCCCACAUUAUCAACCCCAAUGGGAGGAACUGGCUGACAUUGGGGAAGUUCUGAUUGCAAAAGAAGGCUGACGUAUGCCCAGCCCUGAAUGGUGCUCUGGCCACGUUGGCUGCUGCCUGGUUCCCACAGUGCAAACUGAACAAUGCCCCAAGCUGCUGUGCCUUGGAAAAGGUCCUGAGGACCCAAGCCAGGCUGGUGACAAAUAUUCACCAGUCCCCAGAGUCAUUACCGGUCCUGCUUCAUCUCCAAAACUAAAAUGUGGGCCUCUUUGUUUUUAAGGUUUUUUUGGGGUGGAGGAAGGAGAUUAUUUUCUAAAGAUCUCUGAAAAGCCCUCAGCACGUGCCAGAAAUAGGUAUGAUCUCUGCAUCUCAUUGCCAGCUCUCCUGAUUUCACUGACAGCAUUCAGUGCUGUUUGUUUAGUGUUCCCCUCUCCCAGCCUUUUUAUAAAGGAAAGAUGGCUAGAUCUUUUGGUGGUGGAAAUACCUGGAAGCCAUCACUUUAACACAGCCCAAAGGCUCAGAUUACAGCAAACAAACAGAAGAAAGACAAGUGUAUUUAUUCAGGCUUUUUAAUCUUAGGAAUUUAAAGCAAAUUUGCUGACCAUUGGAAACCUCAGCCCUGAUCUGCGAAGGCUCAGGGCUGCCAAUACUAUUAGCAUACAUGCUGAAGAGUUUCAGCUGAUAAAGUUGAGUGGUGUGCUAUCUGGUCUGCUCUCUCAAGGGAAAGUCAGGCUGGGGAGAUGAGGUUUGACUUCAUUUACUCCAUGUGACCUUAGACUGCUGCUUAAAACAGUCUGCUCUUUGUUUCUCCAACUGUCAAAUGAAGAUAAUGAUUCUUACCCAUUCUUAGGACUGUGCUUUGAAAUUUAUAAAUGAAAAUAUUAUUUAUAUUCAAGAGGCUCCCAGACAGGGAAAAUGAAUGAUUUCCAUAAAUGCAAUAUAUUUCUUCCAGUCUGGAUCGUCAUACCUAGUUUCUGGCACUCACACAAACUAAGGAUGGGUGUGAGAGGCAAAUACUUCUAAACAUUUUAUAUACAUAUAUUUAUAUUUUAUAGUCUCUCUCUACAGCAGUUAUCUGUGUGUAAUUUUCUGCAUAUACAUAUAUAUGUGUUUGUGUGCAUGCAUGUGUAAUAAAGACAUGGAAAACCACUUGAGGUGAAUGUGAACCUUUCCUGUCUCACAUUUAAGGGGCUGACUGCCUUUGCAACAGUCUCAAAGAACAAAGCUAGUAAAUAUCUCUUGUCACUUUAAAAGGUGAAAAACUCUACUGGUCUGUUGCCUAGCGAAAUUUAUACAUUAAAACAUUACCAGUUAAAGUUGUGAUGUAAUGUUUGUUGCAGGAUGAUUUCAUGCCAAAGCAUUUACCUUAGUGCAAUAUUAAACUGCAUGAUUUUGGUUUCUAUCCAAAAAGUAAUGGAGUUUCCCAGGGAGAAGGGUGUAUCAGAUGCCCAGGGAGCUCCAGGGACAAGCCCUCUCUCAAGAAUAACCAAUUGCACCAGACAGUGUGACACUGGACUCUCUAUGAAAGAGUCUGAUAUCCCAGAUGACCAGAGAUCACUCUGUGGGGACCACCACAAGAGCAACAGGAGAAACAGAUGGAAGGACACAAGCUCAAACCUCAGA